This 402-nucleotide ribosomal RNA is filed under the name bacterium. RNAcentral's name for it is "partial 16S ribosomal RNA". It matches the Rfam family "Bacterial small subunit ribosomal RNA", at positions 355 to 776 of the family's 1533-position model. The record is from RNAcentral.
UGGGGAAUUUUGCACAAUGGGGGAAACCCUGAUGCAGCGACGCCGCGUGAUUUAGAAGGCCUUCGGGUUGUAAAAAUCUUUUCUAUGGGAAGAAAAUGACAGUACCAUAGGAAUAAGGACCGGCUAAUUACGUGCCAGCAGCCGCGGUAAUACGUAAGGUCCGAGCGUUGUCCGGAAUCAUUGGGCGUAAAGGGUACGUAGGCGGGUAAGCAAGUUAGAAGUGAAAUCCUAUAGCUCAACUAUAGUAAGCUUUUAAAACUGCUCAUCUUGAGGUAUGGAAGGGAACGUGGAAUUCCUAGUGUAGCGGUGAAAUGCGCAGAUAUUAGGAGGAAUACCGGUGGCGAAGGCGACUUUCUGGCCAUAACCUGACGCUGAGGUACGAAAGCGUGGGUAGCAAACAGG